Long non-coding RNA from Oncorhynchus tshawytscha (Chinook salmon), 2814 nucleotides. NCBI's taxonomy places the organism in Eukaryota, Metazoa, Chordata, Actinopteri, Salmoniformes, Salmonidae. The record is from Ensembl.
CUGCAAUGUACCCAAGUGGCGUCGGGAGCAACUGCUUGCACGCGCGUUACCACUCCACUAUGUCUCCCUGUCAUGGCGUUUGCGCCAUCAGUACAGAUAUCAACAUGAGCAGCAGCUACGUUUGGCUACAUACAGACCAUUAGUGGAUUUCCCGCGAGAGAGUAACGGUUAAUGUGAUUGGAUGUUAAUUAUUUGACUAUAGCUAACAGGACUCUAGUCUGGAGUUAUAUCUUAGCUAACAGGACUAUAGUCUGGAAUUAUAUCUUAGCUAAUAGGACUAUAGCUAUAGUCUGGAGUUAUACCUUAGCUAAUAGAACUAUAGGCUGGAGUUAUAUCUUAGCUAAUAGGACCAUAGCUAUAGUCUGGAGUUAUACCUUAGCUAAUAGAACUAUAGUCUGGAGUUAUAUCUUAGCUAAUAGAACUAUAGUCUGGAGUUAUACCUUAGCUAACAGGACUAUAGCUAUAGUCUGGAGUUAUAUCUUAGCUAAUAGGACUAUAGUCAGGAGUUAUAUCUUAGCUAAUAGGACUAUAGCUAUAGUCUGGAGUUAUAUCUUAGCUAAUAUGACUAUAGUCUGGAGUUAUAUCUUAGCUAACAGGACUAUAGCUAUAGUCUGGAGUUUUAUCUUAGCUAAUUGGACUAUAGCUAUAGUCUGGAGUUAUACCUAAGUUAACAGGACUAUAGUCUGGAGUUAUAUCUUAGCUAAUAGGACUAUGGCUAUAGUCUGGAGUUAUAUCUUAGCGAAUAGGACUAUAGCUAUAGUCUGGAGUUUUAUCUUAGCUAAUUGGACUAUAGCUAUAGUCUGGAGUUAUACCUAAGCUAACAGGACUAUAGUCUGGAGUUAUAUCUUAGCUAAUAGGACUAUAGCUAUAGUCAGGAGUUAUAUCUUAGCUAGUAGGACUAUAGUCAGGAGUUAUAUCUUAUACUGUUUCCUGACUUCACUACAACAACAGUGAAAAAGAGAUGUGAUGUCCGUCUGACAUUCAGGAUUACUCUCCUGAACAACUUAUGAAGACAAGCUGCUGUUAGAGAACGAAGCAGACCGUUGUCUCAGAAACCAGUUGGACUCCGGUGCAACAGAAACGGCUAAACAUUUUGAAAGAAAGAUAACUACUUCCUCUGUUUUCAUAUACGCAACCUUUCUAAACGGUUUGGACAGUUUCACUCUUUGUUAAGUGUUUCAAAAUGUCUGAUGUAGUUUUGUUUCAGAGCGUCAUCCAUUUGUUGGAGGGGAAGAGGAGCCAAUAGCAGUCAACGGUGAACAUUCGUAUGAAUUUUAUAAUAGACACACACAAAAAAAAACAAGACCACUUUAGUGCUUAAAAAAACCAUUUUACUGAUACUGCUCAAGUGUUCAAAGGUCUGUGUGUAUUAACAUAGACACUAAAGUUAUGAAAUAAUUAUAAUUAAAAAUCGACCUGUCCAUGAUAACGUGUGGUGUUUACAUGUAACAUAUUGUGUUUUCUAUGUAACACAGACAAAAAUUAACUUUCAAACAGAACAUACAGGUAGGACAGAUGUGGGGUACAGUAGGACACAGGACAGGUAGGACACAGGACAGGUAGGACACAGGACAGGUAGGACACAGGACAGGUAGGACACAGGACAGGUAGGACACAGGACAGGUACAGUAGGACACAGGACAGGUAGGACACAGGACAGAUAAUACUGAUGUGACUACAGGUAGGAAACAGAACAGGUACAGUAGGACACAGGACAGGUAGGACACAGGACAGGUAGGACACAGGACAGUAAUACUGGUGUGACUACAGGUAGGACACAGGACAGGUACAGUAGGACACAGGACAGGUAGGAAACAGGACAGUAAUACUGGUGUGACUACAGGUAGGACACAGGACAGGUACAGUAGGACACAGGACAGGUAGGAAACAGGACAGUAAUACUGGUGUGACUACAGGUAGGACACAGGACAGGUAGGACACAGGACAGGUAGGACACAGGACAGUAAUACUGAUGUGACUACAGGUAGGAAACAGGACAGGUACAGUAGGACACAGGACAGGUAGGAUACAGGACAGGUAGGACACAGGACAGUAAUACUGGUGUGACUACAGGUAGGACACAGAACAGGUACAGUAGGACACAGGACAGGUACAGUAGGACACAGGACAGGUAGGACACAGGACAGGUAAAGUAGGACACAGGUCAGGUACAGUAGGACACAGGACAGGUAGGACACAGGACAGGUACAGUAGGACACAGGACAGGUAGGACACAGGACAGGUACAGUAGGACACAGGACAGGUAGGACACAGGACAGGUAGGACUCAGGACAGGUAGGACUCAGGACAGUAAUACUGGUGUGACUACAGGUAGGACACAGGACAGGUAGGACACAGGACAGGUAGGACUCAGGACAGGUAGGACUCAGGACAGUAAUACUGGUGUCAUGGCAACAAGACUUUCAAACAGCAAAGUUAACACGGUAAAACACGUCAUAGUAAAACUAACUGAUGAUGAAUCUAUGGAUCUGCCUCCGAAAGACAAGACAUUAAAUACUAGAUAGACGUGACAAAACAUAUCUGUUUUUCCAUCUGGACAUUUGAGAACAAGAAGUGUUUGAUUAAAAUAAAGUUGAACAGUGUGAAUGAAAAGUUUUUAGCAAUACUGUCAACAAUUACAGUCUUCACACUGUAAUAAAAACAUAAAAUAAUAUAAUGAAACAAUCACCUUGUAUCUGCUGAGUUUUAUGACAUAAAGACAAGACUAAGACACCUCUGGACUGUGUAAUAACACCUCUGGACUGUGUAAUAACACCUCUGGACUGUGUAAUAACACCUCUGGACUGUGUAAUA